AAUUUCCUAGGGGGCGUCAAAGCCUACCGAAGAAUAUCAAACUCCGAAUGCCGCGUAAUCGAUUAUCGGGAGUCAGACUGCACGAGAUAAGUUGGGCGGUCAAAAGGGAAAGAGCCCAGACCUUCAGUUAAGGUCCCCAAGUGCGCGUUAAGUGGAAAAGGAUGUGGGAUUUCGAAGACAACCAGGAUGUUGGCUCAGAAGCAGCCAUCCAUUCAAAGAGUGCGUAAUAGCUCACUGGUCGAGAGGUCCUGCGCCGAAAAUGUCCGGGGCUGAAACGCGCCACCGAAACUAAGGAACCGAAAGGUUGGUAGAGGAGCAUUGCAUGCGGGAAGAAGCAGUACCGAAAGGAGCUGUGGACUGCAUGGAAGAGAGAAUGCCGGAAUGAGUAGCGAGAAUAAGGUGAGAAUCCUUAUGGCCGAAUAUCCAAGGUUUCCAGAGUAAAGCUGAUCUGCUCUGGGUAAGUCGGGGCCUAAGGCGAGGACGAGAGUCGUAGCCGAUGGACAACAGGUGGAGAUUCCUGUACUGCGGUAUGACAGAACUGUGGGGACACGUAAGGAAAGCGGAAGCCGGGAAUGGAAAGCCCGGUGCAAGCGGGGUACCAGCCACUUUGGCAAAUCCGGGUGGCAAUGGGAAGCCGUGAUGCGGAGCGAAAUAAAGUAGCGAAGUCCGUGAGCCAUGCGUCAAGAAAAGCCGCUAUUGUUUAUACCGUACCCGUACCGUAAACCGACACAGGUGGAUGAGGAGAGAAUCCUAAGGCCGGCGGAAGAAGCAUUGUCAAGGAACUCGGCAAAAUGACCCCGUAACUUCGGGAGAAGGGGUGCCUGCGAGAGCAGGCCGCAGAGAAUAGGCUCAAGCAACUGUUUAGCAAAAACACAGGUCUAUGCGAAACCGAAAGGUGAGGUAUAUGGGCUGACGCCUGCCCGGUGCUGGAAGGUUAAGAGGAGAGGUUAGCGCAAGCGAAGCUUUGAAUUUAAGCCCCAGUAAACGGCGGCCGUAACUAUAACGGUCCUAAGGUAGCGAAAUUCCUUGUCGGGUAAGUUCCGACCCGCACGAAAGGCGUAAUGAUUUGAGCGCUGUCUCGACAAUGCAUCCGGUGAAAUUGAAGUACCAGUGAAGAUGCUGGUUACCUGCGCCAGGACGGAAAGACCCCAUGGAGCUUUACUCCAGUCUGGUACUGGGACUCGGUAUUGCAUGUACAGGAUAGGUGGGAGGCUAGGAGAUGGUAACGCCAGUUGCCAUGGAGCCGCUGUUGGGAUACCACCCUUGCAGUAUUGGGUUUCUAACCAGCCGCCGUGACCCGGCGGUGGGACAAUGCCAGACGGGGAGUUUGACUGGGGCGGUCGCCUCCGAAAGGGUAUCGGAGGCGCCCAAAGGUUCCCUCAGAAUGGACGGAAACCAUUCGAAGAGUGCAAAGGCAGAAGGGAGCUUGACUGCGACACCGACGGGUGGAGCAGGUACGAAAGUAGGGCUUAGUGAUCCGGUGGUAUUAAGUGGGAAUGCCAUCGCUCAACGGAUAAAAGCUACCCUGGGGAUAACAGGCUUAUCACUCCCAAGAGUUCACAUCGACGGAGUGGUUUGGCACCUCGAUGUCGGCUCAUCGCAUCCUGGGGCUGUAGUAGGUCCCAAGGGUUGGGCUGUUCGCCCAUUAAAGCGGUACGCGAGCUGGGUUCAGAACGUCGUGAGACAGUUCGGUCCCUAUCCGGCGUGGGCGUAGGAUAUUUGAGAGGAGCUGUCCUUAGUACGAGAGGACCGGGAUGGACUGACCUCUGGUGCACCGGUUGUCAUGCCAAUGGCACAGCCGGGUAGCCAAGUCGGGAAGGGAUAAACGCUGAAGGCAUCUAAGCGUGAAGCCCCCCUCAAGAUGAGAUAUCCCAUACGCAGGUAGUAAGACCCCUUGA
RNAcentral lists this ribosomal RNA (1898 nucleotides) under human gut metagenome. RNAcentral's name for it is "bacterial LSU rRNA". It matches the Rfam family "Bacterial large subunit ribosomal RNA", at positions 913 to 2841 of the family's 2925-position model. The record is from RNAcentral.